UUCAUGCCCCUUGUCUAUACAAAUUUAUCUGCCGUAAACCGUCUGACAGAACGAUUUUCAGCAAAACAUCAGGAAAAUGGCCGCCAGCCGAUGUUUUCAACUAGACGAGUAUGAAAGGGAAUACAGUGUUAGAUAUCAUCGAGGAUAUGUGACCAAAGGGUUUCAGAAGUCUUGAGAGAUGUAUGUAGAUCAAACCCAUCAAGUAAGCCAACACCAUGUCUACAAGGUCAUACCUCUAGAACCUCUCACACCUCUACAGCUGAGGACAAAUCUGAAAGUGGACAGAGGGAUAGUAUGAAUGCUUCAGUGAAAUUAAGGAGCUCAGGUUCUAACAAGCGUAGUAGAGCAGUGCAACACAGAGGUACUCCAAUGUGCAAUUUUACAAGUUUUUCCAGACAGUGAUUACAGCGAGGCUUGAAGACUACUGUACACAAUUUCUUAACAAAUCCAAAAACAAAGCCGUGUAACAUUCAACUAAGUGAUUCAAAGAAAACCAAACUACAAACAAGAAAGGGUCGAUUGAAUGGAGUGACAUUUUUACCCUGAAGCGUCCUAUUAAGAUAAAGAGAAUCUAGUCGUUUGUGCCACGGCACAAAAUUAUCAGACACAUAAAUAACAUUCAAGUAGUUAUGCAUUUACACGGAGAAUAUGACAUAAUUGUAUUUUCAUAUUGAAUUUAUCAUAUAAGUUGCCAGUUGAUCGAACCACACACUUAAUUGCCAACAUGGUUGGAAGGGUCUUAUUGUCCGAGCUGCAAAGAGUGUAUACCCUUAUAAACUAGCUGGCACAGUUGUGUGUCAGUUGAUAUCAGUCUGUGCUGGUUGCAAAUUAAAUCCAAUACUUUCAUAGAAUUAUAUGUUUUUAUUUAAUGUUUAUAGCAUCAAUAAAUUGAUAAUCUGAAAACAUAUUGCAAGUCAGGUUUUCAAGUAAAAUCCUAAUUAACUUUUAGAACAUUUUG
Long non-coding RNA from Ruditapes philippinarum (Manila clam), 958 nucleotides. RefSeq lists it as uncharacterized. The transcript is spliced from 5 exons. The record is from RefSeq and is a predicted model, not a curated record. Lineage: Eukaryota; Metazoa; Mollusca; Bivalvia; Venerida; Veneridae.